AGACCCUUGACAAAAAAAACAAAAUAUGUGGAUUUCAGAGAAUCAGAAAACCUGAGCACACUGACCCUGUAUAUACUAAAAUCAGAUACCUCAUCACUGGCAAUCCAGGAGUAUUGGCUCAUCCUAAGACUCUGAAGUUUGAUUCAGAACGCUAUCAGUUUACAGAGCUGAGACUUAAGGAAAAAGAUGUAGAUACUUAUCUGAGUGUAUCAGAAGAGACCUCCGAGGACACAGUCUGGGACGCUCACCUGACACAAGGUGAUAUAAAGGACGUUUCACAAUUA
Bufo gargarizans (Asiatic toad) is the source of this 284-nucleotide long non-coding RNA. RefSeq lists it as uncharacterized. The record is from RefSeq and is a predicted model, not a curated record. NCBI's taxonomy places the organism in Eukaryota, Metazoa, Chordata, Amphibia, Anura, Bufonidae. The transcript is spliced from 3 exons.